RNAcentral lists this transfer RNA (73 nucleotides) under Marmota monax (woodchuck). RNAcentral describes it as "tRNA.Thr". The record is from RNAcentral. Lineage: Eukaryota; Metazoa; Chordata; Mammalia; Rodentia; Sciuridae.
GAAAAUAUAGCUCAGUGGUAGAUCACUUGCUUUGUAUGUAUGAAGUCCUUGGUUCAAUACCCAGUGCUAUACA